RNAcentral lists this long non-coding RNA (214 nucleotides) under Panax ginseng (ginseng). Its description in RNAcentral is "long non-coding RNA (PGIN_LNC005810)". The record is from RNAcentral. Lineage: Eukaryota; Viridiplantae; Streptophyta; Magnoliopsida; Apiales; Araliaceae.
UCUACUAAGUCACGCUCUACGAAGUCCCCACUCUACGAGUCCACCCUCUACGAAGACACGCUCUAUGAAGGCCCCACUCUACGAAGGCCCCAAAUGCCACUCUACGAUGUCCUACUUUUCGAGUCCCUAGCACCUGUACAAGCAGACCUCAAGCAAUCCCACUCUACGAGUGCAUCUCUACGAGAGCAGCUACAACACAAAGGAUCUAUAGCAU